GCGUUCUCUUUAUGUAUAUGCUGGAGACAUAAUUUCGAGCCUAUAUUUGACAUUUAAAUUUCCUUUGCAAAUAUCUAUAAAACAUAAGUAAGAUUUCCAUUCAGUGUCUGUUAGGCUCCACAGCAGCCAAAACGGUCCGUAAAUCUCAAAUAUAGACUUAGAACCAUCAUGUUCUUGUUUGAAAUCAAAAUAAUGAUAAAGAAUACCACACAUUCAUGCAUGUUGUGGUGCUCAGCAGAUUUACAUCACUCAUUGGUUUGCAUGUUUGUUUUGUUUUCAAAAAGGAAAAGGAAUUUGUUUCAGAAAGAAAGAUGAAUUGAAUAAAUUAUACGCG
Molecule: long non-coding RNA, 334 nt
Filed under: Mytilus galloprovincialis (Mediterranean mussel)
Lineage: Eukaryota; Metazoa; Mollusca; Bivalvia; Mytilida; Mytilidae
Source: RNAcentral